Non-coding RNA from Pelobates cultripes (western spadefoot toad), 341 nucleotides. The record is from the annotation of a GenBank genome assembly. NCBI's taxonomy places the organism in Eukaryota, Metazoa, Chordata, Amphibia, Anura, Pelobatidae.
GCAGCGGUGGAGGAGAAAGAUGAGGUAGCCAACACUGUUUUUAUAUUAUAUAUAUAUAUAUAUAUUUUAAUUGGGGUAGCCCCCAAAAUAUUGGGACAUAUAAAAAAAGACAACUCUCUUCCACAGAGUAACUGUUGACAUUAUAGUUGUGCAGGAACUUUGUUGACUCUAGAGAACCUCGGACAAAUCGCACAUCCCCACAGCGGCGACUUUCCAUGCGGAUGUCAUCCAUAUCAACUUUUAAAUGCCAGUUUCUGCGCCUACCAUGGUGACCACGGGUAACGGGGAAUCAUUCCGAGCAGGGACCCUGAGAAACGGCUACCACAUGCAAGGAAGGCAGC